GACAUAAUAGUCAAGUGGUGAUGAAAACAGAUUAGAAAUCUGGUCCCUUCUCUCAGGGCAUAAGUUCAAACCCUACUGAUGACA
Chiua virens is the source of this 84-nucleotide non-coding RNA. The record is from the annotation of a GenBank genome assembly. NCBI's taxonomy places the organism in Eukaryota, Fungi, Basidiomycota, Agaricomycetes, Boletales, Boletaceae.